CAUAUCAAUAAGCGGAGGAAAAGAAACUAACAAGGGAUUCCCCCUAGUAACUGCGAGUGAAGCGGGAAAAGCUCAAAUUUAAAAUCUGGCGGUCUUUGGCUGUCCGAGUUGUAAUCUAGAGAAGUGUUAUCCGCGCCGGACCGUGUACAAGUCUCCUGGAAUGGAGCGUCAUAGAGGGUGAGAAUCCCGUCUUUGACACGGACUACCGGGGCUUUGUGAUGCGCUCUCAAAGAGUCGAGUUGUUUGGGAAUGCAGCUCAAAAUGGGUGGUAAAUUCCAUCUAAAGCUAAAUAUUGGCGAGAGACCGAUAGCGAACAAGUACCGUGAGGGAAAGAUGAAAAGAACUUUGGAAAGAGAGUUAAACAGUACGUGAAAUUGCUGAAAGGGAAACGCUUGAAGUCAGUCGCGUUGUCCAGGGAUCAACCUUGCUUUUGCUUGGUGCACUUUCUGGUUGACGGGUCAGCAUCAAUUUUGACUAUUGGAAAAAGAUUAGGGGAAUGUGGCAUCUUUGGAUGUGUUAUAGCCCUUGGUUGCAUACAAUGGUUGGGAUUGAGGAACUCAGCACGCCGCAAGGCCGGGUUUUUAACCACGUACGUGCUUAGGAUGCUGGCAUAAUGGCUUUAAUCGACCCGUCUUGAAACACGGACCAAGGAGUCUAACAUGCCUGCGAGUGUUUGGGUGGAAAACUCGAGCGCGUAAUGAAAGUGAAAGUUGAGAUCCCUGUCGUGGGGAGCAUCGACGCCCGGACCAGACCUUUUGUGACGGUUCCGCGGUAGAGCAUGUAUGUUGGGACCCGAAAGAUGGUGAACUAUGCCUGAAUAGGGUGAAGCCAGAGGAAACUCUGGUGGAGGCUCGUAGCGAUUCUGACGUGCAAAUCGAUCGUCAAAUUUGGGUAU
RNAcentral lists this ribosomal RNA (895 nucleotides) under Cortinarius sp. PDD 112391. RNAcentral's name for it is "partial large subunit ribosomal RNA". It matches the Rfam family "Eukaryotic large subunit ribosomal RNA", at positions 39 to 918 of the family's 3401-position model. Lineage: Eukaryota; Fungi; Basidiomycota; Agaricomycetes; Agaricales; Cortinariaceae. The record is from RNAcentral.